Long non-coding RNA from Solanum stenotomum, 642 nucleotides. RefSeq lists it as uncharacterized. NCBI's taxonomy places the organism in Eukaryota, Viridiplantae, Streptophyta, Magnoliopsida, Solanales, Solanaceae. The record is from RefSeq and is a predicted model, not a curated record. The transcript is spliced from 2 exons.
GACAACUAGGAUUGUAUAAGACUAGUAUGUUUGCCUUUUCCCUUUAUUAAUUGGUGAAAUGGAGAGGUGUAGGAUAGUUUAAAACUGUACUUUCAUUUUUUAGUUUAACAAGUUGAGUUAGCAGUGAAGAGAUGGAUGUAUUAAACUCUUCUUCAUUGUGUAUUUCAUUCUUUAUUUCUUCUUUCUGCUGCUAAAUCAGAUUUUAGGAGCAAAAGUCAUGAUACUUGAGGCCUUAUCCAGGAACAACUGACUGAUUAUCGUAAUCUCUCUGGGACACCAUAUGAAACACUUGCAGCCCUAAACCUCUUUAGGGUGAUAUGCAUCCAUUCUUUUAUCCCUUUUAUACCUAAUUGCUCUCAAAGUGUAUAUCUGAUUGACAAGCGUCAAUCUUUUAUAAUUGGUUAAUAUGUCAUAGACAUGAUCGAGAAAGGGGUGUUCCGUGCACUAAAGCUGGGCUAUGCGUGGGAUCUGAGGAAGGGCUGGACCACAGGGUCUAAUCCAAAAAAUUCAUGUUGAACAUGGAGCGGCUAUAGUGAUGCUCAAGGCCAACUGUGGUGAAUUAAAUUACUUUUAGGUUGUAAACUUACAAAUUAUAUUUAAACAAUUUUCUACUAACAUGAUAUAUCAGGUAUCUUUUGCAGG